Molecule: ribosomal RNA, 585 nt
Filed under: uncultured bacterium
Lineage: Bacteria
Description: partial 16S ribosomal RNA
Rfam family: Bacterial small subunit ribosomal RNA
Source: RNAcentral
UGGGGAAUAUUGGACAAUGGGCGCAAGCCUGAUCCAGCAAUGCCGCGUGUGUGAAGAAGGCCUUCGGGUUGUAAAGCACUUUUAUCAGGAGCGAAACGCUGUCGGCUAAUACCCGGCGGAACUGACGGUACCUGAGGAAUAAGCACCGGCUAACUUCGUGCCAGCAGCCGCGGUAAUACGAAGGGUGCAAGCGUUAAUCGGAAUUACUGGGCGUAAAGCGUGCGUAGGCGGUUUCUUAAGUCUGCUGUGAAAUCCCCGGGCUCAACCUGGGAAUGGCAGUGGAUACUGGGAGGCUAGAGUGUGUCAGAGGGUGGUGGAAUUCCCGGUGUAGCGGUGAAAUGCGUAGAGAUCGGGAGGAACAUCAGUGGCGAAGGCGGCCACCUGGGACAACACUGACGCUGAGGCACGAAAGCGUGGGGAGCAAACAGGAUUAGAUACCCUGGUAGUCCACGCCCUAAACGAUGCGAACUGGAUGUUGGUCUCAACUCGGAGAUCAGUGUCGAAGCUAACGCGUUAAGUUCGCCGCCUGGGGAGUACGGUCGCAAGACUGAAACUCAAAUGAAUUGACGGGGUCAUAGUGUUUCC